RNAcentral lists this ribosomal RNA (303 nucleotides) under Triticum aestivum (bread wheat). RNAcentral's name for it is "partial small subunit ribosomal RNA". Lineage: Eukaryota; Viridiplantae; Streptophyta; Magnoliopsida; Poales; Poaceae. The record is from RNAcentral.
AUGCUGACCCCCAGUCGAAGUGUUGAGGAGGCCGAGGCAAAAUCUGCCCUCGCCGGACUGCAGGCUCUUGCAAAAUACUACAGCGGGCCUUUGAUCCUGGAGAUGGAUUGCCAUGCAAUCAUAAAAGAGCCAGCUACGGGAGACCAAUCCAGAUCACAGUGCUAUGCCUUGAUCAAGGAUAUUAAACAAGCACUCUCAGUUUUUUCAGCAACCAGAAAUGUCAGCGACCAGGAGAUCAUCGCAAACGUCCCGGAUAAACUCUGUCCACUGAUGAUGGCUGAAUUUGUAUAUCCUCUAGAGUAG